This 466-nucleotide ribosomal RNA is filed under the name uncultured bacterium. RNAcentral describes it as "partial 16S ribosomal RNA". It matches the Rfam family "Bacterial small subunit ribosomal RNA", at positions 30 to 507 of the family's 1533-position model. The record is from RNAcentral.
CGAACGCUGGCGGCGUGCUUACCACAUGCAAGUCGCACGGAAAGGCCCUGCUUUUGUGGGGUGCUCGAGUGGCGAACGGGUGAGUAACACGUGAGUAACCUGCCCUUGACUUUGGGAUAACUUCAGGAAACUGGGGCUAAUACCGGAUAGGAGCUCCUGCUGCAUGGUGGGGGUUGGAAAGUUUCGGCGGUUGGGGAUGGACUCGCGGCUUAUCAGCUUGUUGGUGGGGUAGUGGCUUACCAAGGCUUUGACGGGUAGCCGGCCUGAGAGGGUGACCGGCCACAUUGGGACUGAGAUACGGCCCAGACUCCUACGGGAGGCAGCAGUGGGGAAUAUUGCACAAUGGGCGGAAGCCUGAUGCAGCAACGCCGCGUGCGGGAUGACGGCCUUCGGGUUGUAAACCGCUUUCGCCUGUGACGAAGCGUGAGUGACGGUAAUGGGUAAAGAAGCACCGGCUAACUACGUG